ACAUAGCAAUUAUGGAACCAGAAGGCUGGUCGCAGAAGGAGGGACAUGUUGUCGGCUGGUCUGGAUGUGAGAUAUGUUUUUGCCUCUUACGAGCUGUGUGACUUCAGGGAAGUUGCUUUGCCUCUCUGGUUGGCACACCCAAACCCUGCUUGCCAGCCAGUCCCCUGCUGGCUUCUCCAUCCACUCCCUCCUCACUCAUUCUGUACCAACCACCUUGACCUUCCUUCUUCUCCCACCUCCAGGCCUUUGUCCUUGCUGUUUCCUCUGCCAGGAGCUCCGUUUCUGGCCAGGCCAACCCUAUCCAGCCAGUGUUCCCCGGCACUCUUUUUAUUUUACUUCCUCAGUUGCUGUUUUGCGGUCUGUCUGCCCCCCUUUUCAGGAUGGGAGCUCCACCUGGCUCCCCCUCCCCAGACCAGCCACCGUGGUUUUGGAGAGCCACUGCCCUCCUGCACUAGACCCAGCGUGUCUAAUUGUCCAGAUUAGGUGGGUCAUGGUGGCUGGGAAAGCCCCGCAUCAGGUGGCUGAAACGCCCUGACUCAGUUCCCACUGCCCUGGGCAGGGAGGCUAGGAGACCAAGUCCCCAGUGGAGUUGCUGUGUGACCUUGGCCACUUGCCUGCCCUCAUGAGUCUCUGCGUGUCUGAGCUGUUUGGCGCAGAAGCCAUGAUGAUUGGCUGCUGAGGGCCAGGGGCCCUGAGGACAGGUGUCAUGGGGUCAGGGAACCCUGAAACAGUCCAUGAGGUUUCUUGUCUUCUCCUGGGGAGGAGGUGAGAAGCCCAAAGGAGCAGGGAACCCCCAAAGGGCAUAGUAACUGGGCCAGGGGAUUUUUAAGACUCAAGUAGCCCUCAUGUUCAUUUGACACCGUGUGCAUCCGGCCAGAUAGGUAGAAAAGUCACUGAGGAGCCCCCAGGAAUGGGCCAGGCUUUCUUUGAGGGAUUGAAUUGGACAUCUGAAUAACCCACGUUUGAAUCUUGGCCUCACGCACAGCAUGACCCUGGGCCUGAGUCUCCUUGUCUAAAAUGGGAGCAAAGACUGUCUCUUGAAUGAUUAGAAAGAUCUGCACCGAGUGUGCUUGGAAAGUGCUGGCAUGGCAAAGAUGGAACUGGCUAAACGUCAUACAAUACAGCACGAUGAUGAAUGCCUUCUGGGGGCAAAUUGGGGGACCUGCAUACAGAGCUUUGGGGGACAAAGGGUUUGGGGGUCCUGGGAGCAGCAGGGCCCAAGUCUGGCUUCUCCCAGGGGUGUCGAGUCUCCUGCUGCAGUGCCGAGAGCAGGCUGGCAGGAGGCCUGCCCCAGGACCACCUGAGCCGCGGUGGGGAAACUGAGUCACACCUGUGUGGCCAGAGCCCUCGACAGGUGCAGGGGGUCAGUUCUGACCUUCUAGUUCUGUGCCUCAGUCACCCUGUGGGCUGCAUCGAGGCCUCUGGACUCCGCAUCCAGUGCUCUCCCCGACAUCACCCGAAUUUCAGUCACUCACUUUGACGUGUGCCUUUUGCCCCAUCUACCUGGUCCUCCUAGUGACUUGGUAGUUUUCUUGAAACCCAUUCUCUUUGAAAACUUAAAGGAGAAAAAUUUGUCUUACUCUCAUGAAUGGGCAACCUGGCAUGUCCUUGACAUAAGAAGGCAGAACCUUUGAAAUAAAUGUGAUGAGAGCC
This is a long non-coding RNA of Phocoena sinus (vaquita), 1653 nucleotides long. NCBI's taxonomy places the organism in Eukaryota, Metazoa, Chordata, Mammalia, Artiodactyla, Phocoenidae. The record is from Ensembl.